RNAcentral lists this ribosomal RNA (500 nucleotides) under uncultured bacterium. RNAcentral's name for it is "partial 16S ribosomal RNA". It matches the Rfam family "Bacterial small subunit ribosomal RNA", at positions 30 to 523 of the family's 1533-position model. The record is from RNAcentral.
AUUGAACGCUGGCGGCAUGCCUUACACAUGCAAGUCGAACGGCAGCACGGGAGCAAUCCUGGUGGCGAGUGGCGAACGGGUGAGUAAUAUAUCGGAACGUGCCCAGUCGUGGGGGAUAACGCAGCGAAAGCUGUGCUAAUACCGCAUACGAUCUAUGGAUGAAAGCGGGGGAUCGCAAGACCUCGCGCGAUUGGAGCGGCCGAUAUCAGAUUAGCUAGUUGGUGGGGUAAAGGCCCACCAAGGCGACGAUCUGUAGCUGGUCUGAGAGGACGACCAGCCACACUGGAACUGAGACACGGUCCAGACUCCUACGGGAGGCAGCAGUGGGGAAUUUUGGACAAUGGGCGCAAGCCUGAUCCAGCAAUGCCGCGUGCAGGAUGAAGGCCUUCGGGUUGUAAACUGCUUUUGUACGGAGCGAAACGGUCUGCCCUAAUACGGUGGGCUAAUGACGGUACCGUAAGAAUAAGCACCGGCUAACUACGUGCCAGCAGCCGCCGUAA